Molecule: unclassified non-coding RNA, 253 nt
Filed under: uncultured Chitinophagales bacterium
Lineage: Bacteria; Pseudomonadati; Bacteroidota; Chitinophagia; Chitinophagales
Description: contains 16S-23S intergenic spacer region
Rfam family: Bacterial small subunit ribosomal RNA
Source: RNAcentral
UACGGAGGGUGCAAGCGUUAUCCGGAUUUACUGGGUUUAAAGGGUGCGUAGGCGGUUUUGUAAGUCAGUGGUGAAAGCCCGGAGCUUAACUUCGGAAUUGCCAUUGAAACUGCAAAGCUUGAAUAUAGUUGAAGUGGGCGGAAUACAACAUGUAGCGGUGAAAUGCUUAGAUAUGUUGUAGAACACCAAUUGCGUAGGCAGCUCACUAAGCUAUCAUUGACGCUGAGGCACGAAAGCGUGGGGAUCGAACAGG